AUAAACAAACUUCCAGUUGAACUACAUAUUCCUGGUUAUCAGUAUUGCGGACCUGGUACUAAAUUAGAUAAAAGGCUAAAGCGAGACGAUCCCGGAAUAAAUCCCCUAGACGCUCAGUGUAAAAAGAGCACGACAUUGGCUAUAGGAAUAACCAAGACUUUGAAGGUCGACAUCAAGCAGAUCACCUUUUAGAGCGGAAAGCUUGGGAACGGUUAAAAGCUUCCGACGCGAAGUUAGGGGAACGAGCAGCCGCCAGAAAUGGUAUGUUUUUACAGCCAGUAUCCAGUACAAAUAUUGGAGCAUAUUAUAAUUCCUGCGCCGCUACCACCGUCAAAUACUCAAACGCAGCCGCCAGAAAUGGUAGCUUUACAUCCACAAUCCGCGAUGGGUGCAUCAAUUUCCAAAUAAUCCAGCUCAACAACAACCAAAUUUACCACUACCUGUAAAUAACGGCGGCAACAAUCACUUUCAUGCCCCGUUGCCUAGGGGGGGAGAAGAUAUGCAAUUACUAAGAGAUUUUUAUAAAAACGUCUCUCCGCCGUCUUCAGCAGCCAUCGACCAAGAAGCGGCGCCACCACCACCACCGUCGCCAUCUGAUGGCACGAGCCGUCUACACCCCCCAAGAGCUGGCGAGGGUUAUCCAUGGGGUGUCUGAAGAAGAUGCUGACAAUUUUCCAGGCCAGACAAAGAAAUUCCCAACUCCAAAUGGAGCGUUUUGAACGGGAAUUGACUGCAUCACGGCUUCAAGAUGAAAACCUGCAUCGAGAGAUGAAAUUUAUUAUAAAUUACAAGCAAUUUUUAAAGAAUAACUAAUUGUUCUUUUUAAAUUUA
Photinus pyralis (common eastern firefly) is the source of this 831-nucleotide long non-coding RNA. RefSeq lists it as uncharacterized. Lineage: Eukaryota; Metazoa; Arthropoda; Insecta; Coleoptera; Lampyridae. The record is from RefSeq and is a predicted model, not a curated record. The transcript is spliced from 3 exons.